CGCGGGAUGGAGCAGUUGGCAGCUCGUUGGCUGCAUAACCCAAAGGUCGCAGGUUCGAGUCCUGCUCCGCAACCA
RNAcentral lists this transfer RNA (75 nucleotides) under Paraclostridium bifermentans. Its description in RNAcentral is "tRNA-Met". It matches the Rfam family "tRNA". From Rfam's summary of the family: Transfer RNA (tRNA) molecules are approximately 80 nucleotides in length. Lineage: Bacteria; Bacillati; Bacillota; Clostridia; Peptostreptococcales; Peptostreptococcaceae. The record is from RNAcentral.